Molecule: ribosomal RNA, 413 nt
Filed under: Pseudomonas sp. R-35704
Lineage: Bacteria; Pseudomonadati; Pseudomonadota; Gammaproteobacteria; Pseudomonadales; Pseudomonadaceae
Description: bacterial SSU rRNA
Rfam family: Bacterial small subunit ribosomal RNA
Source: RNAcentral
GGGUGAGUAAUGCCUAGGAAUCUGCCUGGUAGUGGGGGAUAACGUUCGGAAACGGACGCUAAUACCGCAUACGUCCUACGGGAGAAAGCAGGGGACCUUCGGGCCUUGCGCUAUCAGAUGAGCCUAGGUCGGAUUAGCUAGUUGGUGGGGUAAUGGCUCACCAAGGCGACGAUCCGUAACUGGUCUGAGAGGAUGAUCAGUCACACUGGAACUGAGACACGGUCCAGACUCCUACGGGAGGCAGCAGUGGGGAAUAUUGGACAAUGGGCGAAAGCCUGAUCCAGCCAUGCCGCGUGUGUGAAGAAGGUCUUCGGAUUGUAAAGCACUUUAAGUUGGGAGGAAGGGUUGUAGAUUAAUACUCUGCAAUUUUGACGUUACCGACAGAAAUAAGCACCGGCUAACUCUGUGCCCAG